AUAAAUCCAGAUGCAAAUUCGCUUCUUUUGCCUCACCUAAUAUUGCUAGCCAAUAUUUUGUUGUGUUCAUGAAGUUGUUUGUGCUUUCAGCCAUGUCAUUCGAUAUGAAUGUAACAUAUUUUAUUAUGUGUGAUCAUUCAUUUUUGUGCUGCAAGCCAGUGCCUCUAACAAGGCCUGUUAGGAGUCUUGAAAUGGAUAAAUUAAUUGUGCUCACAACGGUUUUUGCUCUGUACUCGCCUGGUCUGGUUGUGCUGACAAAAUGUUUUUCCUCUUUUUCAGAAAAGAAGUCUGCACAAUACUGUUACAAUAGGAACACAACACAGGUGCUUUGGAAAAGAAGUCUGCACAAUACUGUUACAGUAGGAACACAACACAGGUGCUUUGG
Long non-coding RNA from Rhipicephalus microplus (southern cattle tick), 385 nucleotides. The record is from RefSeq and is a predicted model, not a curated record. Lineage: Eukaryota; Metazoa; Arthropoda; Arachnida; Ixodida; Ixodidae.